This 253-nucleotide ribosomal RNA is filed under the name uncultured bacterium. RNAcentral describes it as "partial 16S ribosomal RNA". It matches the Rfam family "Bacterial small subunit ribosomal RNA", at positions 524 to 776 of the family's 1533-position model. The record is from RNAcentral.
UACAGAGGUCCCAAGCGUUGUUCGGAUUCACUGGGCGUAACGGGUGCGUAGGCGGUCGGGUAAGUCUGAUGUGAAAUCUCACAGCUUAACUGUGAAACUGCAUUGGAUACUAUCCGGCUCGAGGAAUGGAGGGGAGACUGGAAUACUUGGUGUAGCAGUGAAAUGCGUAGAUAUCAAGUGGAACACCAGUGGCGAAGGCGAGUCUCUGGACAUUUCCUGACGCUGAGGCACGAAAGCCAGGGGAGCGAACGGG